GUCUCCGGCCAUACUACCCUGAACACGCCCGAUCUCGUCUGAUCUCUGAAGCUAAGUAGGGUCGGGCCUGGUUAGUACUUGGAUGGGAAAGUACGUAUAACUAAUUGAUAUGGAGAUA
RNAcentral lists this ribosomal RNA (118 nucleotides) under Microcebus murinus (gray mouse lemur). The record is from RNAcentral. Lineage: Eukaryota; Metazoa; Chordata; Mammalia; Primates; Cheirogaleidae.